UACAGAGGGGGCAAGCGUUGUCCGGAAUUACUGGGCGUACAGCGCACGCAGGUGGUCGUUCAAGUGUGGUGUGAAAGCCCCGCGCUCAACGCGGGGAGGCCAGCACAGACUGGGCGACUGGAGGGGUGCAGAGGGUUGGGGAAUUGCCGGUGUAGUGGUGAAAUGCGUAGAGAUCGGCAGGAACACCAAGGACGAAGGUACCAACCUGGGCACCACCUGACACUCAGGUGCGAGAGCGUGGGGAGCGAACCGG
This 253-nucleotide ribosomal RNA is filed under the name uncultured bacterium. RNAcentral's name for it is "partial 16S ribosomal RNA". It matches the Rfam family "Bacterial small subunit ribosomal RNA", at positions 524 to 776 of the family's 1533-position model. The record is from RNAcentral.